GGAUUGGGAGGGUUCUACGGAACCCGUUUGGUGAAUCUAGUGCCGAGAAAAGCCUUCUAUGUGUUGAAUUUCUAGUACCCGUACCCCAAACCGACACAGGUGGGUGGGUAGAGCAUACCUAGGGGCGCGUGAUAACUCUCUCUAAGGAACUCGGCAAAAUGGCCCUGUAACUUCGGGAUAAGGGGUGCCUGCGUGAGCAGGCCGCAGUGAAAUGGCUCUGGCGACUGUUUACCAAAAACACAGGUCUCUGCUAAGUCGUAAGACGAUGUAUAGGGGCUGACUCCUGCCCAGUGCCGGAAGGUUAAGGAAGUUGGUUAGCGCAAGCGAAGCUGGCGACCGAAGCCCCGGUGAACGGCGGCCGUAACAAUAACGGUCCUAAGGUAGCGAAAUUCCUUGUCGGGUAAGUUCCGACCCGCACGAAAGGAGUAACGAUCAGAGCGCUGUCUCGGAGAGAGACACGGCGAAAUAGGAUUGUCCGUGAAGAUACGGACUACCUGCACCCGGACAGAAAGACCCUAUGAAGCUUUACUGUAACUUGGAAUUGUGUUCGGACUUUGUCUGCGCAGAAUAGGUGGGAGGCUAUGAAACGUUCCUCGCGGGGAACUGGAGCCAUCGUUGAGAUACCACUCUGGCAGAGUCUGGAUUCUAACCUACGGGGACAGUUCCAGGUGGGCAGUUUGACUGGGGCGGUCGCCUCCUAAAAUGUAACGGAGGCGCGCAAAGGUUCCCUCAGGCUGGUUGGAAAUCAGCCAUAGAGUGUAAAAGCAUAAGGGAGCUUGACUGUGAGACCUACAAGUCGAGCAGGGACGAAAGUCGGCUUUAGUGAUCCGACGGCACUGAGUGGAAGGGCCGUCGCUCAACGGAUAAAAGUUACUCUAAGGAUAACAGGCUGAUCUCCCCCAAGAGUUCACAUCGACGGGGAGGUUUGGCACCUCGAUGUCGGCUCGUCGCAACCUGGGGCGGUAGUACGUCCCAAGGGUUGGGCUGUUCGCCCAUUAAAGCGGCACGUGAGCUGGGUUCAGAACGUCGUGAGACAGUUCGGUCCAUAUCCGGUGUAGGCGUAGGAGCAUUGAAAGGAUCUCUCCUUAGUACGAGAGGACCGGGAGGGACGUACCGCUGGUGUACCUGUUAUCGUGCCAACGGUAAACGCAGGGUAGCCAUGUACGGAGUGGAUAACCGCUGAAAGCAUCUAAGUGGGAAGCCCACCUUAAGAUGAGUGCUCCCUUGAGGCCACGGGAAGACGACCCGUUUGAUAGGCGCUAGGUGGAAGUGCAGUAAUGCAUGCAGCCGAGGCGUACUAAUAGGCCGAUGGCUUGUCC
Molecule: ribosomal RNA, 1319 nt
Filed under: metagenome
Description: bacterial LSU rRNA
Rfam family: Bacterial large subunit ribosomal RNA
Source: RNAcentral